UACAGAGGUCUCAAGCGUUGUUCGGAAUUACUGGGCGUAAAGGGCUUGUAGGUGGCCAACUAAGUCAGACGUGAAAUCCCUCGGCUUAACCGGGGAACUGCGUCUGAUACUGGAUGGCUUGAGUGUGGGAGAGGGAUGCGGAAUUCCAGGUGUAGCGGUGAAAUGCGUAGAUAUCUGGAGGAACACCGGUGGCGAAGGCGGCAUCCUGGACCAUUACUGACACUGAAAAGCGAAAGCCAGGGGAGCAAACGGG
RNAcentral lists this ribosomal RNA (253 nucleotides) under uncultured bacterium. RNAcentral describes it as "partial 16S ribosomal RNA". It matches the Rfam family "Bacterial small subunit ribosomal RNA", at positions 524 to 776 of the family's 1533-position model. The record is from RNAcentral.